Molecule: transfer RNA, 65 nt
Filed under: Dipodomys ordii (Ord's kangaroo rat)
Lineage: Eukaryota; Metazoa; Chordata; Mammalia; Rodentia; Heteromyidae
Rfam family: tRNA
About the family: Transfer RNA (tRNA) molecules are approximately 80 nucleotides in length. Their secondary structure includes four short double-helical elements and three loops (D, anti-codon, and T loops).
Source: Rfam by way of RNAcentral
GGUGGCUCAGUGGUAGAGCGCUUGCCUAGCAUGCAUGAGGCCCUGGGUUCGGUUCCUCAGCACCA